RNAcentral lists this ribosomal RNA (500 nucleotides) under uncultured bacterium. RNAcentral's name for it is "partial 16S ribosomal RNA". It matches the Rfam family "Bacterial small subunit ribosomal RNA", at positions 30 to 523 of the family's 1533-position model. The record is from RNAcentral.
AUUGAACGCUGGCGGAAUGCUUUACACAUGCAAGUCGAACGGCAGCACGGACUUCGGUCUGGUGGCGAGUGGCGAACGGGUGAGUAACAUAUCGGAACGUAUCCAAUAAUGGGGGAUAACGAGUCGAAAGAUUCGCUAAUACCGCAUACGCCCUACGGGGGAAAGCUGGGGACCUUCGGGCCUGGCGUUAAUGGAGCGGCCGAUAUCUGAUUAGCUAGUUGGUGAGGUAAAGGCUCACCAAGGCGACGAUCAGUAGCUGGUCUGAGAGGACGACCAGCGAUACUGGAACUGAGACACGGUCCAGACUCCUACGGGAGGCAGCAGUGGGGAAUUUUGGACAAUGGGCGCAAGCCUGAUCCAGCCAUUCCGCGUGAGUGAAGAAGGCCUUCGGGUUGUAAAGCUCUUUCGCAAGGGAAGAAAACUUAGCCACUAACAUUGGUUGAGGUUGACGGUACCUUGAUAAGAAGCACCGGCUAACUACGUGCCAGCCGCCGCGGUAA